This 478-nucleotide ribosomal RNA is filed under the name uncultured bacterium. Its description in RNAcentral is "partial 16S ribosomal RNA". It matches the Rfam family "Bacterial small subunit ribosomal RNA", at positions 28 to 523 of the family's 1533-position model. The record is from RNAcentral.
GACGAACGUUGGCGGCGUGCUUAACACAUGCAAGUCGAACGGUAAGGCCCUUCGGGGUACACGAGUGGCGAACGGGUGAGUAACACGUGGGUGAUCUGCCCUGCACUUCGGGAUAAGCCUGGGAAACUGGGUCUAAUACCGGAUAGGACCACUGCCUGCAUGGGUGGUGGUGGAAAGCUUUUGCGGUGUGGGAUGGGCCCGCGGCCUAUCAGCUUGUUGGUGGGGUGAUGGCCUGCCAAGGCGACGACGGGUAGCCGGCCUGAGAGGGUGACCGGCCACACUGGGACUGAGAUACGGCCCAGACUCCUACGGGAGGCAGCAGUGGGGAAUAUUGCACAAUGGGCGCAAGCCUGAUGCAGCGACGCCGCGUGAGGGAUGACGGCCUUCGGGUUGUAAACCUCUUUCAGCACCGACGAAGCGCAAGUGACGGUAUGUGCAGAAGAAGGACCGGCCAACUACGUGCCAGCCGCCGCGGUAA